RNAcentral lists this ribosomal RNA (1228 nucleotides) under metagenome. RNAcentral's name for it is "SSU rRNA". It matches the Rfam family "Eukaryotic small subunit ribosomal RNA", at positions 506 to 1758 of the family's 1831-position model. The record is from RNAcentral.
UUAUCGGAAUGAGAACAAUUCAAAUCCUUUAACGAGGAUCUAGCGGAGGGCGAGUCUGGUGCCAGCAGCCGCGGUAAUUCCAGCUCCGCAGGUGUAUAUCUAUGCUGCUGCGGUUAAAAAGCUCGUAGUUGGAUCUGCGUGCUCGGAACUGGUUGGCUCACUGAGUUCAAACUGGUCUCCGGCGCUUUAUUGGCUGGUUUUCCCUUGAUGCUCUUAACCGGGUGUCUUGGGUGGCUAGCACGUUUACUUUGAAAAAAUUAGAGUGCUCAAUACAGGCGUAAAGCCUUGAAUAGUGGUGCAUGGAAUAAUAGAAUAGGACCUCGGCUCUAUUUUGUUGGUUUUCGGAACGCGAGGUAAUGAUUAAGAGGGACAGACGGGGGCAUUCGUAUUGCGACGUUAGAGGUGAAAUUCUUGGAUCGUCGCAAGACGGACGACUGCGAAAGCAUUUGCCAAGAAUGUUUUCAUUAAUCAAGAACGAAAGUUAGAGGUUCGAAGGCGAUCAGAUACCGCCCUAGUUCUAACCGUAAACGAUGCCAACUAGCGAUUCGCAGGCGUUAAACAACGACCUUGCGGGCAGCUUCCCGGAAACGAAAGUGUUCGGGUUCCGGGGGAAGUAUGGUUGCAAAGCUGAAACUUAAAGGAAUUGACGGAAGGGCACCACCAGGAGUGGAGCCUGCGGCUUAAUUUGACCCAACACGGGAAAACUCACCCGGCCCGGACACCGUAAGGAUUGACAGAUUGAGAGCUCUUUCUUGAUUCGGUGGGUGGUGGUGCAUGGCCGUUCUUAGUUGGUGGAGCGAUUUGUCUGGUUUAUUCCGAUAACGAACGAGACUCUGGCCUACUAAAUAGUGGGCGGAUUCUUUCUGUCCGCAACACUUCUUAGAGGGACAAGCGGUGUUCAGCCGCACGAGAUUGAGCAAUAACAGGUCUGUGAUGCCCUUAGAUGUCCGGGGCUGCACGCGCGCUACACUGAAGGAAUCAGCGUGCUUUCUGACCUUGCCCGAAAGGGCUGGGUAACCCGAUGAAAAUCCUUCGUGAUUGGGAUAGGGACUUGCAAUUAUUUCCCUUGAACGAGGAAUUCCCAGUAAGUGUGGGUCAUAAGCUCGCGUUGAUUACGUCCCUGCCCUUUGUACACACCGCCCGUCGCUGCCCGGAACUGAGCCGUUUCGAGAAGAACAGGGACCGUCGUUGAAGGGCCUUAACGGGCUUUUCUCUGAUAGAAACUGUU